CAGUAGCCACGGUAAUACGUAGGUCCCGAGCGUUGUCCGGAUUUAUUGGGCGUAAAGCGAGCGCAGGCGGUUAGAUAAGUCUGAAGUUAAAGGCUGUGGCUUAACCAUAGUACGCUUUGGAAACGGUUUAACUUGAGUGCAAGAGGGGAGAGUGGAAUCCCAUGUGUAGCGGUGAAAUGCGUAGAUAUAUGGAGGAACACCGGUGGCGAAAGCGGCUCUCUGGUCUGUAACUGACGCUGAGGCUCGAAAGCGUGGGGAGCGAACAGGAUUAGAGACCCCUGUAGUCCCUGUCUCUUAUACA
RNAcentral lists this ribosomal RNA (301 nucleotides) under uncultured bacterium. Its description in RNAcentral is "partial 16S ribosomal RNA". It matches the Rfam family "Bacterial small subunit ribosomal RNA", at positions 509 to 808 of the family's 1533-position model. The record is from RNAcentral.